GUGAAUUUGAUUCUUCAAAUCAACACCAUUAAGGUCCACAAUUUUCACUGAUCAGUUUCAACAGUACAAUGUAUCAAGAUAUUUUGUUUGGUAACCAAAGCUGGUGAAAAAGCCAUGUAUCGUCAAUGGUUAACCAAUCUUCAUCUUCAAUCAUCAUCCUCUCUGUUAUAUUACCUCUAUCUUUACAUUUCAUCCAUUUCCCGUUGAAGAAAUAUUUCCUUUUUACCAGUUUUCCUCAGGAUACACAUUUUUUCUAAAUUUUUAGUGACUUGAUGUGACAAAUUGUGAUCAAAUUGACGUUUGAUCUAAUUUUAUUUAACCUAAAAUAGCCCUAAAUUCAAGUCAACCAUUGAUGUUGAAAAUUUCCACCAAUAAUAGUGUUUCUCAUCCAAGAUUAUGAUGCUGUUGCAGUGUUGAUGGUGAUGUUUAAUAUUUAACUGAUUGGCCAAAUUACCAUUAUUUAUUCAAGUCAGCGUUAAAAACACUAGUAAAAUCAGUUAUCAUUAUACAUCAAUGGAAGAUGAAAAUUGUUUAUAAAAUGGACCAAACAUUAAGGUUAAACUCUAUCUUCUUUUUUCUCCCUCAUCUCAUCUUUUCUUUGCAUCUUAUAGGUAGUUUCUCUUACAUUUCGUCUUCGUCUUCGCCAUAAAUUACCUGCAGCUUUUACUUUUCAUGGUAAAUAGACUAUUUAAUAACCAGGUUAACACACAAAAGCAAAGAAAACAUAAAAAAUUACCAACAUAUCAUAAUUUAUUGGCAGGAUUAUCUGAUUAAAUGCGAGACAAACGGAAAUUCAAUUUGGAUUCCGGAAACAUUGGAACUCAAUUUAGCAAGUAGACUAAGCCCGAGGCCACUCAAUUAACAUAAGAUUGACCUUAACAGUUAAGUAAUUGAAGGAGAAGGAGCCAAAAAAAGAGAAAGCCCAAAAAAUGGACGGAGAAAUAUGAUGAUGGUAAAAAACGAUGAUGAUGAUAAUGAUGAUCAAAAUGAACCAAGCCAAGCCCAUGGAUAGAGUAACUUAAAUCUCCUUUGGAAAACGUUCACAGCAUGAGAUAAAGAGAUGAAGAAAAGGACAAGAAAAACAAAAAUGGUAGAAAACGAAAUGUGAGAAGAAAGUAAAAAUUGUUUAACAUAAUUUGGUUACCUUGUUGUAGCUUUCUUCAUUCUUAUGGUCUACCUUUUUGGUGCUAAUUUAAUGCCUUAGGAUUCAGAAAUGACUAAGGUAAAAGGUUAACGGGCCUUUAAAUUGUACCAAAAUGUAGACAAAGUCAACCCCAGUGAGCAAAGAUGUUAAUCACCUAAAGUUUGAGGUAGGCAAAAAUGAAAUACAGUCAAUUGUUGCUGCUAUUAACGAUACCAAUUUGGGUUUGAAUUGAUGGCAGUUUAACGCGCUUACUGGAAAUGAGCGAUUGCUGUUUACAUCCCAUUUUUAAGAAGUCUUACAUUGCUGUUUAAAGGAGCAUUUUGAUCACAAACAAUUACAACAAACAUUUCAAUGUUAACAUUAUUCAUGAUGUUUCAUUCAUUUUGCAGCUCAACUUAUCAAGAGUUAUCAUGAUUUCUUUCAGAAUUAUGUUGUCAGACUUUUUAUAUUUUCAACAAAAAUAUAAAUAGUUACAAUGAAACUGUGUAAUCAAUGAGAAGCUUAGCAAAGAUUUGAAAUCGUCUUAUAAAUGAAUAAUUAGAUUUUACGUUUAAUAUUUUUGAUCAUUUGAAGGUAACCAUUAUACUAUUAAUUAUGUAACAAAUAGUAUAAUGAAUAAUGAACAUUUACAUUUAUCAAAACCAAUCUGUAAAUUGAUUGACAGAGUGAUUGGAAUCAAUUGUUUUAAAUUUAAUCACAAGUUAGGCUUAAAAGUUAAUUGAAAAAAAGAUGAAAAUUCAUUGAUGAUCAAAAAGCUAAUCUUGAUCUUUCCAAUUAUUAAUGAACCUUCACUACAAGCAACAUUAUUUGCUUGAGACAAACUUUACAAUUAACCUUGAGAUUAUGAUUACAAUUAGACAGUUGAUUGUAUAUAUUGAUGUAUAAAUAAUUAAAAAAACUGUUCAGCGGUAA
Molecule: non-coding RNA, 2056 nt
Organism: Tetranychus urticae (two-spotted spider mite)
Lineage: Eukaryota; Metazoa; Arthropoda; Arachnida; Trombidiformes; Tetranychidae
Source: RefSeq, a predicted model, not a curated record